GGAUGAACGCUGGCGGCGUGCUUAACACAUGCAAGUCGAACGAUGAAGCCCAGCUUGCUGGGUGGAUUAGUGGCGAACGGGUGAGUAACACGUGAGUAACCUGCCCUUAACUCUGGGAUAAGCCUGUGAAACUGGGUCUAAUACCGGAUAGGAGCGUCCACCGCAUGGUGGGUGUUGGAAAGAUUUAUCGGUUUUGGAUGGACUCGCGGCCUAUCAGCUUGUUGGUGAGGUAAUGGCUCACCAAGGCGACGAGGGGUAGCCGGCCUGAGAGGGUGACCGGCCACACUGGGACUGAGAGACGGCCCAGACUCCUACGGGAGGCAGCAGUGGGGAAUAUUGCACAAUGGGCGCAAGCCUGAUGCAGCGACGCCGCGUGAGGGAUGACGGCCUUCGGGUUGUAAACCUCUUUCAGUAGGGAAGAAGCGAAAGUGACGGUACCUGCAGAAGAAGCACCGGCUAACUACGUG
RNAcentral lists this ribosomal RNA (467 nucleotides) under uncultured bacterium. Its description in RNAcentral is "partial 16S ribosomal RNA". It matches the Rfam family "Bacterial small subunit ribosomal RNA", at positions 27 to 507 of the family's 1533-position model. The record is from RNAcentral.